This is an RNA transcript of Folsomia candida, 1756 nucleotides long. RefSeq lists it as uncharacterized. The transcript has 5 exons. Lineage: Eukaryota; Metazoa; Arthropoda; Collembola; Entomobryomorpha; Isotomidae. The record is from RefSeq and is a predicted model, not a curated record.
CAAUCGAUACUCUGACUUGUGGUUACACAUCAUCAUCCAAUUUCAGCUUUUUUCCAAAUUUCCCUGCAUUUUGACUGCGUAAAUUGCAUCUAAAAAAAUAUGGGAAUUUCUCGGGCACUUUUACUCGUAACUUUGUAUCUUCUCCAACUUCAACACGGUCAAGUGUCCGGUCAUGGCAGAAUGAUGGACCCACCAAACCGAUCCUCGCUGUGGAGACUGGCCGAGUAUGAAAGCUACAACCCACCAAUAAAUUACGAUGACAAUCAACUAUUUUGUGGAGGAUUUGUUCUCCAAUAUCAACACAACGGAGGAAAAUGUGGCGAAUGUGGAGACCCCUAUAAUUCUACGAGGCCAAGAGAUAACGAGCAUGGGGGGCUCUAUGGACAAGGAAUUAUCACAAAGACGUAUAGAAAGGGACAGGAAAUCACAAUCUCUGUUGAAAUAACGGCCACUCACAUGGGCUAUUUUGAAUUCCGAAUUUGUAACAUGGACCGAAACCAUGGUCCGGAAAAUGAAGCUUGUCUCAACCAAAAUUUGCUCGAAUUGAGCAAUGGAAUUCCAAAUAUUCCGACGCGUUACCCGAUUCCGACAAAUGGGCUGGGGUGGCACCAUGUAAAAGCGAGACUGCCAAGUGGACUCGUUUGCACACACUGUGUCCUCCAGUGGCACUACCAUACGGGUAACUCAUGGGGCGAAUGCGAAGACGGAUCGUAUGCAGUAGGCUGUGGUAAUCAAGAAACUUUUCGGGGAUGUUCCGACAUUGCCAUUUCAAAUUAAGGAUAACAGGCUAUUCACGUCAAGGAGAAAAUUGUGUGUCUGACAUAAAUUGGCGCAAAUAAAAUUUAUAAUUUAAACUUAUAAGUAUCAUUUAACCUUAGGAGAAUAUUUAACUAAUCAUACUUAUUCAAACUUAUGAUAGAAAGAGGAAACAAAUGAAUGAAUUUUUUGCAACUAUACAACUAAUUGUUAUAUAAGAAGCGCUGUAUUAUUUAUAAAUUGUGUAUUAAGUACUAUUAAGCAGAAAAAAAUUGGCAUACGGACAUUUUUUAUCUGGUUACCUUUACUGAUAUACUCACACUGCUCACUUCCGUGAGUGUUAAUCUGUCGGCAUUUCUAUGUACAUAUGCAGAUUCCAACCGACUUGUCUUAUUACCUAUCAUUACCGAUGGCAUACCCGACUAUUACAAGUUUAAGGAGUUACAUUGUAGGGUUCGCAAACUGAAUUUUUAUUUGAGCGUGGUCACUGACCCAAAUCAUCCUCCUAAUCCUCCAUGUUUUCAAUGGUUUGGGCAUCUCUUGGAACUUUCCAUACAUUUAUGGACUUGACACGUGAUAUUCUGAUACGUGAAAUAUGGGUAGUUGUUGUAUUUGUGUCGUUUGAACUCCAGAUCAUACAUAUCAUGCAUGCUUUAGGUAUGUACAUGAUAGACUUAUACAUAUAGACUUCUAUGCAAAUCUAUGAUGUACAUACAGUACAACUCGAUAUCAUUAAAUUCUAAAUGACUUAAUUCAACAUGGGGACAAGGGACAAGGUUGGUCAUAAGUCAUGAAAUUAGAAUGACCCUAUUUCUGAGCACAUAAUGAACUGCAUGGAUGCGGGUAAAUGUCACGAGUGUGAAAUUUUGCGGAAAUCGUAAUUGCAUUGUUUAAUUUGAUAAAACAACAGCGUGCAUGUUGUUUCAAUUCUCCGAAUCACACAAAAUUAAUGAUCGCUUAUUUAUGGAGAUGGAUAAGUAGUAACUUUUCAGAAUUAAUU